This 5823-nucleotide long non-coding RNA is filed under the name Mus musculus (house mouse). Its description in RNAcentral is "long non-coding RNA chr1:78317265-78323088". Lineage: Eukaryota; Metazoa; Chordata; Mammalia; Rodentia; Muridae. The record is from RNAcentral.
AAAGUCGGUGACAGUGUGUGUGCUCUUGGUGGAUAUCUAAAUGAUAUACUGGAACACAUAGUGACUGCCAGCCUGCGAGUCCUGACUAGUAUUCUUCAAAAAUGUCGAAGUCAUCACAAACAAAGAAACUGAGAAACAGUCUCAGUUUCCUAAGGAAACGGAUGACUGGGAUAAACAAGCCCUGGGCAGGACCAUGGGACAGAAAAAUAGACCUUAGGUGAAACUAAGAGAGUUUGUAUAGAGGAUGGACUUCAGUUCAUUAUAAUGUAGCAUUCUGAAACAAAUGUACCGUAUUAAUAUAGAAAGUCAGUACCAGUGGAGAUUGGCAGGAGAAUGUAUGGAGAUAUGUGGCCAUACUAUUUGUCUUUUUUUUUUUCUUUUAAAUUAAAAUUGCUCUGAAAGUAAAAUCUAUUUAAGAUUCAGUACAUGGGAGGAGUUCAAACAGGGAUUCCUUUGUGAAUAUGUGGGCAGGGACGAGAUAAAAAAAACACCAGAGGAAAAUGAUGCAUCCGAAAACAUCUGCCUUGGGCUACAGAGAUGCUAUGCAGUUAAGAGCACUGGCUGCUCUUCCAUAGGACCUGAAUUCAUUCCCCAGCACAUACACAGGAGCUCCACAACUGUCUAUAAUCCAGCUCCAAGGUGUUUGACACCCUCACACAGCUCUACAUGCAGGCAAGACACCAGUGCUCCUAAAAGAAAAAGAAAUCAUUUUUAAAAAUAAAGCCUCGGUGUGAAAGGGGAGAGAAAAGGGUUUUAGUAACAGAAGAUCGAAUGGCAGCCGAGCUGAAACGCAGAUCCCUGAGAGCACCUGGCCCCUGAGCAGAGAACCGUGGCCUGAGGUGAUAACUCCAUGCUUGGCUUAGCAUGCAAGUGUUGGAUCUGAUUCCCAACAAGACACACACACAUGCACACACACACAUGCACACACACAUACACAAACACAAGCACGCACGUACCCAUCCAGCCGCACGCACAGACACACUGACUUCUGACUUUGGAGAGAGAGGUAAUCACACACAGCAAAGGAAAGGCUGGGGAAAUAACCUGUUGAGUUCACACCCCAUCCACCCCAUCUGCCAUCAUAUCUGCCAGUCCUCCCCUUCGGCCAGAUCCCAUCAGAAGAGCCAGGGAUAGCGGGUACCUCGCUGAUUCUGUUUAUAAAGCUGAGUUUCUCUGGAGAAAAGUGGAGGGCAGAUUUGAAAGAGUGAAUGAAAAGUCGUGAGCUUUGGCGCAUAAGAAGCUUGGUGCAACCAUUCUGACUGGCGUGCGGGGCUAAAGGUGGAGCUUGGAGCUGGAGCCUUCAUGUAGCAGAAUUUGGACUUCAGCCCAAGGACAUGAGGAUGGUGAAUCAGUUUUGUUCCUUGGGCCAAAAUAAAAUCAGUAGCAUAGAACAGUGAUUUAAGAAGGGAUUUCAGGGUGUCUCUGUGAGAAAGGGUAUGUGAUUUAUAGUAACGCUCACCUAGGAAUUAGGAGAGUUAGUGCAAAAGCUUUUUAAAUAGAGCUUCAAGAUUCAAACAGCAGUGCAGACAGGACUAACCUGAAACUAGACCUUAAUGUCUGUUCGUGGUUCUUUGUGAUAUGUGGUCUUUCCCUUACAAAUGGCUUCUUAAACUGUAGAUCAUCAUGUUGCAGACUAUAGGCCCAUCAUUACAGCUUUGUGCUGAUUGGAUAAAGAUCAAGUCAUUGAGCUUGUAGGCUGGACAGCAUCUUAUGAAAUGGCCUGGCAUGAGCUUCAUCUGCCUGAGAUCUGCCUGUUGGUUACUAAUAAUCCAUCAGACUUCUAAUGGGGAUAGAGGUUAAAUCCGUCUGCUCACCCAAGGGAGAACACAAGACCCAGCCACAAGGACUUAGACAGUUUGGUGAUGAACUUUGGGAAAGAGAGGAGAUGCAGUUCAACAGAAAGCUUAAGGCUGAAAGGGCAAGAGGAAAGCAGGUGCUGAGGUAGAGAAGAGAGCAAUGGGAAGAGCAGAAGGAAAGAAGCUCUGGGUGGAGAUGGGAGGUCUGUGAAAGCCAUCAGAGCUGCUGGAUGUGGGGAACUGGUGGAGAGGAAACUGCCCUGUGCAACUCUUCCUUUUGUAGUGAGUUCUCUGCAGAAAGGGUCUCUGUGGGCUUAGAUUUUUCAAAACCUACUUUAAUAAGGGUUCUCAAAUGCUAGCCCACCAUCCAAAGGUAGGGGAGAAACGACGAUAAAUAGGACAAGGGGAUGUGGACCUGUUUAGAAAUGGUUCUUCGGGGGCGAUUCUAAUCUCUGUUGUCUGGAUACCAGCAGUCCAGAUCAGUAGUGUCACGAUACCAAACACGAAUCAGCAGCAGUGGCAAGAUCCAGCCAAAACUGCCAGGCCUCCUCCACCAGGAGCGACCAGCUUUGCCAGGGAAGCUCUCUCAAUGAAGUGAAGAUCAGCGGAGAUGUGAGACCAAUGAAGAAUUGCACAGCUAGCUAUGCAAGUACCCUGUCACUGUCUUUUGAGUCCUAUUUAUGCUCUCUCCAAACAUGACAGGUCCUAUCAUGGGUCUUGCCUUAGCCUGCAGCAUGUGGCACAACCAGAAAUUUCCGCUUUGAGUCUCCCCGUGCAACCAGGACAUGUAGGUCCCUGCCACUUGUAUAGAUUUAUUUAUUUAUUUAUUUAUUUAUUUAUUUAUUUAUUUAUUUAAAGAUUAAAAAAAUCUCUGCAUAUGCAUAUAUCAAAUCCCCUCCCUCAGGGUUCAGAGAACCCUGUCGAAGAGAGUGCAGAAAGGGUGUAAGAGCCAGAGGGGAUGGAGGACACUAAGAGAACAAGACCUCUAAAUCAACACGAUAGAUGUUCAUGUGACCUUACAGAGCCUGAGGCAGCAUGCACAGGACCCGCAUGGAUCUGUACCAAGUCCUCAGUGUAUACAUUAUGCCUUCUAGUUCAGUGGUUUUAUGGAAUUCCUGAGUGUAUGAUCAAGUGCCUUUCUGAUUCUUAUGCCUUCUCUUGGACUCUUUGCCUUCUCUUGUUCGUUUUGUCUAAUUCUGAUGAGUUGGGUUUUCUUUGGUUUUAUUAUAUUUUUUAAAACUUUUUAUCGGUUCUUUGUGAGUUUCACAUCAUGUACCCCAAUCCCACUCAUCUGCCCCUCCCCUUGCAUGUGCCCUCCACCCUUGCAACCUGCCCACCAGCAAAGGAAACCCAUUCUUGCUGUGGAAGCUGCAGUGUGUCAUGGUGUAUGUCCCAGUACACCCUUUUGUCUCUUCUUCCUUGUUUGCACAGGUUCAUUGCAAUGAGUCAUUGGGCUGGUUCAGGUCCUCUGGCAUCUGCUGUUCUCUCAGUACUGGAUCCUCACUGGGUCUCCUCUUGUCUAUCCUGUUGUCCUGUGUCACAGAGAUCCUGCAGCUUUCGAUCUGCAGGAACGGGCUCCAGAAUGGGACAUUUUGUUUUGUUAUUAUCCCUUAGAAGGCCUGUUUGUCUUCUAAUGAGAGACACAGUGUGAAUCUGGGUGGGAGGGUUGAGGGAGGAACCAGGAAGAAUAGAGGGAGAGGGAACCAUAAUCAGAAUAUAUUAUAUGAGAAAAAACUCUACUUUCAAUAAAAGGGAAAAACAAUAAGAUUAAUUAUAGUAAGAAAAUAAAAGCUGGCUUAGAACAGAGUGCCAUAAAGUUAUUGUGGAUCUGGGCUCACUAAACUUUCAGUAAAGUGCAGUUGAAAAGAUAUAUAGUAAGGAUUCGUUAAGGAUAUAUUUUAAAUAGUAUAUACAAAGUAAUAACAUUUCCCACUCGUAAGGAAUCUCGUGGAAAAGUUUUUGUGAAGCCAGGUGUGGUGGCAUACACCUUUAAUUCAGCACUCAAAAGGCAGAAGCAAGUAGGUCUUUAUGAGUUCAAGGCCAGCCUGGCCUACACAGAGAAAACCUGUCUCAAAAAAUAAAACAAACAAAAAGUCUUUGUGAAUAAUUGGAAUCCUAUGGUGUAUCCGUGUCAAAAACUUGCUCGUAGCGACUUGUAAAUGAGGACAACCCAGCCUCACCAUUGGCUUCUUUCGGUUUUAAAGUUUGGUUCCAGGUCAUCACAGAGCAGAUAGGAUUCUUCCUAAAUUCUCGUCUCUUUGGCCAUGUGAUUUUUGUAAUCUAGUGAUUUUAUAAAAUAAACAUCUUUAGUAGUAUAAAAUAUUUAUUUUAAAUGUGUGCAUAUAUAUGUGCAUCUAUGUAUGUAUGUGACCCCUGGAGGUCAGAAGCCUUUAUUAACGUUACAGGUGGUUGUGUGUUACCAUGUGGGUGCUGAGAACUGAACUCUGCAAGUGCUCUUAACCGUGUGUGUGUGUGUGUGUGUGUGUGUGUGUGUGUGUGUGUGUGUGUGUUGUAUUUGGGUGCUCGUGUAGCUUGAGUUUACAUGUACAUACGUGUAUGGGGAGACCAUGGGAUAAACCUCAAGGGUUAUUCCUCAGGGGCCUUCCACUUAUUUUUGUGAGACAGGAUCUUUCACUGGCCUCUAGCUAGACAAGUAGGCCAGCCUGGCUGGAGACUAGACUAGCUCCAGCAAGCCCCAGGGACCCAUGGUCCCUGAUUCACAUCUGCCCUUUUAUUUAUUUCAAGUAUGGGUUCUACGAAUCAAACGCAGCUUCUCAUCCUUGGUGUCCCCAGCCGUGCUAUCAUUGUUUCUGCCACUUUGGUUGGGAUGGGAACGGGUGGAAAUGGAGAAAACUAAUGGGAGUCUAUUAUCCCUCUAAUGUGAAAUCCCUCUGCUCACCCAGGUAUCCUCAGGCCUGACAUGUACCUGGAACAUAGCAGAUUCAAUACCCCCAUCCCACCCUCACCCCCACCCCGUGGUUCUAGGGGUUGAGUCUCAGGCAUCCUGCAUGUUAGAAGCCCUGUCACGGGUUCAGUGCUAUGUAAUGAUGGAAACAUGAUGGACUAUGAAGCUCUCCUUUCCCUACUGGGCAUCCACACAUACACCUGCCUUCUCCUUUCACAGUAGAGGGUGGGACUAACAUUCACCCAGCUGCAUCUUCUUUUAGCUUUCCAGUCCUUUCCAGUCCCCAUUCCUGCCUCUUCAGCCAGGAACUGAUUAAGGGGUCUGAUUAAUGAAUGACUUUUAGUUGUUUUCAUUUCUUCCACUGGACAGCAUGAGGGGGAAGCGUGCACAUUGCUGAAACUGUGGUUGUGGUGAAACCCCUGUCCCUCAGAAAGGAGACCCAGUGGCUGUGUUCCAGGAAGCCGGUUGACAACAGGCAAGGGCUAAUGCCGAUUUCCCUCAUUUGUAAUUAAGGUGUCAAGAUUUCCAGGGUAAAGAAGCAAUUGCAUUUUCUGUUGCCAUACUUUUUUUUUUGUUAAUGAUUAACCCUAUCUCCCGUUGCCCUGAUAAGAAAGCUGAUCUUAAGCCAAGGCAUUCUUGCAUUUGAUGUAGCACGCUAUUUCUUUUGCAGAAAACACCUUCCUGGUUUCCAGGCAACCCAUUGAGAGUGUUCCUCUCUGUGUCAGAGACCUAUGAAAAGGCUGACAUUUGGGGCAUCCACUGGCCUUCAUGAUGGUACUUGCCUGGCGAAAUGCAUUCCACACGUUAGGAAAAUAAAAAAAAAAAACUGAAACAAAUUCCAGGCAGGACCAUAAUUCACGUCUCUGACGUUUCUUCUUGCUUCAAUUUGGGAUGAACGGAUGGGCAACGUGUGUUAGAGAGGAAAAUUCCCCAGGCUUCGGCUGCACUGGGCAGAAAAAGCAGAGGCUGACCACCUAAGGUCUUGUGGGUGGGCUUAGGAGUCUGGGGGAAGAGAACUGGUGUCUUGUAGCUAUUUUGAAUAUUAUGGCCCAUGUCGUUUAACUGCAGUUUCCUGGUUGCUCCGGUUAGUGCUGGUUAUGUAGUAAUGGAGCUGUUACAACC